RNAcentral lists this ribosomal RNA (464 nucleotides) under uncultured bacterium. RNAcentral's name for it is "partial 16S ribosomal RNA". It matches the Rfam family "Bacterial small subunit ribosomal RNA", at positions 339 to 795 of the family's 1533-position model. The record is from RNAcentral.
CUACGGGGGGCUGCAGUGGGGAAUAUUGGACAAUGGGGGAAACCCUGAUCCAGCAAUGCCGCGUGUGUGAAGAAGGCCUGCGGGUCGUAAAGCACUUUCGGUUGGGAGGACUGCUUCUAGCACUAAUAUUGUUGGAAGUUGACGUUACCUUCAGAAGAAGCACCGGCUAACUCCGUGCCAGCAGCCGCGGUAAUACGGAGGUGCAAGCGUUAAUCGGAAUUACUGGGCGUAAAGCGCGCGUAGGCGGCUAGAUCAGUCGGGUGUGAAAGCCCCGGGCUUAACCUGGGAACUGCAUCCGAUACUGUCUAGCUUGAGUACAGGAGAGGAGAGUGGAAUUCCACAUGUAGCGGUGAAAUGCGUAGAUAUGUGGAGGAACACCAAUGGCGAAGGCAGCUCUCUGGCCUGAUACUGACGCUGAGGUGCGAAAGCGUGGGGAGCAAACAGGAUUAGAUACCCGUGUAGUC